Molecule: long non-coding RNA, 1059 nt
Filed under: Homo sapiens (human)
Lineage: Eukaryota; Metazoa; Chordata; Mammalia; Primates; Hominidae
Description: HSALNT0116817
Source: RNAcentral
AGCCAACCUAAGACAGCACUGCCCUUCCCUGUGCCAGGAAGGCUCAACACAGACAGAUAGAUGCCUGCAGGAAAGGGCGGCUGCAGUGGGAAUGUGGACUGAAGCUUAGAUGAAAUAAGUGCACAAAGAACGCUCAGAAUUUGGCUCAUUAUAUUAUACAAAUAAUAUCCCAGAUACCUGCUGAAAUUGGAAGGCCGUACACAGCGACCAUGAAAAGGAUAAAGUGCAGACUGGUGAUUGACUGGUCAAUGUGUAUGCAACGUGGGCAGCUUGGACUCUGAUACUUUGUGCAGGAGACGAUAGUCCAAGGAUCACCAUUAUGACACAUUAUUUCUUAGUGACAGAUAAUGGAAUAAAAUCAUCUUUAUAAAUGUUUACCUAUUUUUUUAACUUACACAUUUUCUAUAAAAGUAUUAUUAUUAUUAUUAUUAACAAAGAAGUCUUAGCAUUGGAUCUCACUUGUUGCUUCUGUGAGGUGCUCGUUCGCGUGUUCCUGGGAGCGCCCUGCCCAGGACCUGCUGGCCGGGUGCAAGCUCUUCUCUUGGACCAGGAACAGACGGGGGGCCUGGUGCUGCCCUGUCUCCUCAGCAGGAGCUUCGGAGAGAACAGUGAAUGUGCACAGCACCUGCAGCCAGAGGGAGACACAGUUUAACUCCUAACAGGGCCAGUGCACGGGUGCUUGGUAUUUGGUCACUGGUCUCCAGCCCAGCCGUCGUGGGAGGAUCUUGUGAGGGGCUCUGCCGUGCAGAUGUCUCACCGGGUCCCUAGGGAGCUAGAAGUUGGCUUGUAAUUCUUUGCACUGGAACCUGACUCCAUUUUGUAUGUAAACAUCAAGAAUUUUUUGCAUGGCUUUAGCGUACACUGAAUGUUCCGAGAAUGUAACUAGAAUAAAGAUUGAACUUUGUUUUGUUUGAGGAUUUUCUGGGAAUUAUUUACCAUCUUGGGAAAUCACGCCGCUGAUGUCAAUGGCCCUGCAGUCCUCAGGUGCCGGUACCCUGUACUCACGCCGCUGAUGUCAAUGGCCCUGCAGUCCUCAGGUGCCGGUACCCUGUACUCUCA